Molecule: long non-coding RNA, 525 nt
Filed under: Vitis vinifera (wine grape)
Lineage: Eukaryota; Viridiplantae; Streptophyta; Magnoliopsida; Vitales; Vitaceae
Description: long non-coding RNA (VVIN_LNC001829)
Source: RNAcentral
GAAAUUUUCGCAUAACACAAGGUGUCGUGCGAAAUUUGCAUUUCCUCUUUAAAGGCCGUGUUCUUCUCUUCCCAUGCUCAAUUUCUUCUUCAUUUCUCAUAGCACCGCUCUUCCAAUCACCAAAUCCUUUCCUUAAGUUUCUUUUCUUCAUCAUUCCCCCACUCUCAACACCACCAUGGCAGCCCAUCUCCAUAACUCCACCCCAUAGCCGCGGCAAUCACUAUUCAUCACCGUCCACCCCUUCAAUUUUCAGCUCUUUCCACCAUAAAAAACCUUCCAAUUCUUCACUCAACACUCUAAAUCCAUCCCUCAACCAAUUUUAGCCUUGUAUUUACCAAGCCAAAGCCUCAAGCUAAGGAUUCAAGCCACCUUUUCUUCAAUAGGAAACCCAUUGCCGCCGGGUAGAGGAGCUCUAAAUUUCAAAUUUUGUUUGUGAAAAAACUCCAAUUUCCAAGCCUAUUCACCAUGAAAAAUCCUUUUCCUACCUUAGCCAGCAGAUCCCACCCUCAAAAGCUAAAAAUUUUC